UAUUCUGGUGUCCUAGGCGUAGAGGAACCACACCAAUCCAUCCCGAAUUUGGUGGUUAAACUCUACUGCGGUGACGAUACUGUAGGGGAGGUCCUGCGGCAAAAUAGCUCGAUGCCAGAAUGAUAAAAAGCUUAACACCUCUUAUUUGACUUUUUCACUAUUUUGAAAUACGAAAAAGAUCCAAAUCCAAAACGCAAAGGUCCUCUUAUUCAAAACCUCAAUCAUCACAUCCCCUUCACACCUCAGAACGCACUGUUCUUAUAGAGAGAAAGGCGCUUUCCCAUCUUCUUAACCCGAAAUGAAAUGGCUGAGGAGAAGAAGGUUCCUUUUGGGGGGUACCCCCGAGAAGAGAUCCAGUGGAGACGGGGU
Molecule: ribosomal RNA, 369 nt
Filed under: Axonopus compressus
Lineage: Eukaryota; Viridiplantae; Streptophyta; Magnoliopsida; Poales; Poaceae
Source: RNAcentral